RNAcentral lists this long non-coding RNA (1101 nucleotides) under Pavo cristatus (Indian peafowl). RNAcentral's name for it is "lncRNA (ENSPSTG00000003184.1)". The record is from RNAcentral. Lineage: Eukaryota; Metazoa; Chordata; Aves; Galliformes; Phasianidae.
UGCCCCUCGUGCGCCGUGUAAAUGGCAUUUAAUUGGUGCUUUGCAUUUUGACAGCUAGUUUGGGCUGUGCAUGCCUUAACAUUUCCAGACAGCAGAUUGCUGGGUAGUUGUGUGUGUUUAAGAUGCUGUUUGCUGGUGACAUCAGUACAAGGAUUUCACAUCAGGCUGACUUCUCUUCAUUGUUGCUGGCGAGAGGCUCUUGACACAUAAUUUUAUUGCCAUUAUAUUUGAUAUGACAGACAUUAUAAAAUAGAACUGCAUUUCAUUUUAUAUCAAAGCAGAGAUUUAUUUAAUAUAAUCAUGAAGUUUCAGCCAAUGCCUGUUGUUAUGACAACAUGCAGUAACUUUGUGGUUAGCAUAGGAAUUAUCUCAGGAACAUUCUGAGUUUCAUGUCAAAUAGUUUGUGAUGUUUUCCUUGUAACAAACAGGAGAUGCUGGGGGUGAAAUCACAGCCNAGUUCUUUUACAGAGACUCGAGAAAUAUAAAUAUUGGAGGAUAUUAAUGAAAAUGACAUCUAUAUCUGAUGUAUUAGUGCCCAAAAAUGUGACGAAGUGCUCUGUUAAUUAACAUUUUUUUUGUUAUGAUACUUGUAAAAGUACAGUCAUUUUUCAGAGCUGACUGAGCUGCCCAGAAAAGGGCAGUGGUGUGACCUGGGUUAGCUGUUGUCCCAUCAGUGAUUUGAUUAUUCAAAACAGCAACAGACAGUGCACCCCACAUCCGUCACAAUGCAGAAAACAAAGGGUUGAAGCUAGUUAGUGUAUUACUGCAGUGACUCUGAGCACUCCUCUUACCGCUGUCCUCCCACCAAGCAACUGGUGGUAUUAUUGCAUCAGGAAAGACCAGUACACUGGGAGAAGUAUGUUCUAGAACAGCUGUUCGGUCCCUCACUUACUUGCCUGCUGGUAAUACCCAUCUUUCGAAGAGCAGAUGGUUUAAUUUUCUGAAACAGCUGCUAAUAAAUAGGAGAAGGAAAAUCAGAGUUGGAGAAUGAACUGUUAUCCACCUUCAAAAUUCAGCAAGAUUUAAAGCAAGGAAAUAGCAAACACAGACUGCAUGAUUUCUGCAGCUCCUUUCUGCCAGUGAGCCAUAUGGGAAAUUGAG